GGAGAAUCUAAGACUUCUGAAGAGUUUCUUGCUUCUUUCCUGUGGGGCAGUGACUCCACUUCCCAGCAGUAAUGGAAUAUCCUGAAUUAGCUACAUUAAUGUUAGAACCAUUUGGACCUCACCCAGGACUUCAACUACAUUAUGGUUAAGACAGAGAAUCUGAAGACUGCAUACCUGACCUCUCGUUUUUACCUACCCACCCACCCACACCCAAAUAUUUCUACUGGACUAUAAUUUAUUGUGACGCCCCCACUUCCACUGCAGGAUGUUAUAAGAAAUGAGACUCACUACUGAAUUCACAGCAGGCAUGGUUGAAGGCACCAUUCACUAUAGCUUGCAGUGUUCCCUUUAUGAGAUUUGUAUGAGAAAUUCCUCUCAUAGGUCAAGUUCUUGGAAGAAAAUUCUCCCAAAGAGCAAGUCUCAGGAAAAGCUUGGCUGCUAAAGUUACAGAACCCAAAUUUGGCAACUGUCUGCAUCUGAACAACAGAAGUUUCAACAUUCUGCCAACAGAGUAACUCCUGGACGAUUGGCACAGAAGGCACAAGGCAAAUACCUAUCUCUGUACACCCUGUGCUACUGUGUCAUGUGCUGCUCCAGGCAACUCCAAUGGAUUGGCCACCCUGGCCAAUGUGCCCUCCAAACACCAGCACUGAGUAGAAAGAGGCUCUGAUUCAUGAAAUGUGAAUUUAUGACAGUUGCCACUCUUAAAAAAAAAACAAACAGACAGAACUUGAGCAAUACAUGACUGAUGCAUUCUCAGCCUGCUUCCUGUGUUCCAUCUGUCUUUCU
This 789-nucleotide non-coding RNA is filed under the name Pan troglodytes (chimpanzee). The record is from RNAcentral. Lineage: Eukaryota; Metazoa; Chordata; Mammalia; Primates; Hominidae.